UCGAACGACGAAGAAAGUUUGCGCAACCGUUGCAUAGAGCGUGCUUUACGACAGAGCGUAGGAAAGCUUCGGUUUUCGGUAAUUCGGUUUGGGAAUAUUCCUCCGCGGUAUUGAAAGUGGCCAAAAUAACAAAAUCGGAACACAAAACCAGCAGAAAAGCACAGCAUUGUAAUUUCGGAAGCGUGCCAAGCUGGAAGUGGUCGCCAUUGUCGAUGCGCUAGAAAAUUGACUUCCACGUCGCUGGCUGAAGGAAGGUGGUUUCCGGGGAAUAAACCGAAAUACCGACGAUAAGCACGAAAUAAGAUCGACACGUGUCCGUGCAGCAUUCGGAUCGAUCGCCAUAUUGGAUUGGCACCCUGUGAAAGCAGCGAGCACAACGGUUGCGAGAAGUUUACAUGAAGAUUGAUCCCUACUUCGAGGAGACCGACGCGAGCCUGAACUCACACCGAGUGGCAUUGGAGUGGGUCGCGUAGGAAGAGCGUGCGGAGUCAUCAAAAAAACCCCUACAUAGGGGUUUUUUCCUUUUAGUGGUUUCAUUCCGGCGACCCAGUGAGCGUGUUUCGUCGUAGCGAUUCUCCCCAGAGGCGGUGUCUAGACGGAAGAUUGAGUGCACCGACGUCUCGGACGCUGACGUGGCACGGCGAGCAGAGGCCGACGACAGGCGUGACAGGUCCCUCGGCCUAGUCAGACCCGACGCACCUGAGGAUUCGGAGUUUUGCUACGGUGGCGGACGCGAUGGGUGUCGACUGUGUAUGUGAUUGUGUGGAGUGAACGACCAGAACCCCGAGGAUUGUUGCAGAGCUGGCGUGCGUCAUGAUCAGGUGGUUGAGCAUCGAUCUUGCUUGAGUGGAGGGCUCGUGAGUACACUCUGAAGAUUAGUUUUAAGUGCAAACUAUUAUAUGCACGCCGAGAGCGUCAUUGAUAAGUGAUAGGGCAAGAGAAUAGGAGGAGGCCAGAAGGGCCAGGCAUAUACAAUGUGUAAAUAAAUAAUGU
Armigeres subalbatus is the source of this 993-nucleotide long non-coding RNA. RefSeq lists it as uncharacterized. Lineage: Eukaryota; Metazoa; Arthropoda; Insecta; Diptera; Culicidae. The record is from RefSeq and is a predicted model, not a curated record. The transcript is spliced from 5 exons.